Dermacentor andersoni is the source of this 1482-nucleotide long non-coding RNA. RefSeq lists it as uncharacterized. The record is from RefSeq and is a predicted model, not a curated record. Lineage: Eukaryota; Metazoa; Arthropoda; Arachnida; Ixodida; Ixodidae.
UACAUUUCUUCCUUGGCUGCUGAUGGCUUGUGUUCGCCGUGGAUUUACGCAUCUCGCCCUCAGAUAUCCGACGAGCCGGCCCGACGUUCUUGCGCAGGCGCGAGAAAGAAAAUGUGGGGGCGUUGGCUCAUUGAAUAUUUGACUCUGCCUAGGCACCAUGGAGGAGGUUUCUUAGCGUGUGUUGUAUGCGUUUGUCCCUAGGCGUGCCGGCAUUGCGGAGUGGUUUACGCUCGGACGCUAGCUGCCGGCGUGGUAAAAUAGGUGAGGCAGCGGGCACUACCGCCCUGCUGUGUCGGACAGACUGUCUCGCACCUGCGGCGCUCGUACUAAGUCAGUCGUCGGAUCAUAGCUUUCUUGCGCCUUACGGCGGUAUAAGUGAUGCAGGCCAUGAAAUAACCUUCCAAUGGCUUCCAAGUUACUGCGGGAUUAUGGGCAAUGAACGGGCCGAUCAAGCUGCCCGCUCAGCCCAUAUUGAAGAGCACCACGUACCAAUUCCACUUUCUAGAACUGACGCAGCACAGAAGCUCCGCCUGCUUGCUCGGCAGUGCACCACGUCGCAAUGGAAUGAGCCACGUUUAAGAAAUACUCGAGUGUACUGCCUUGAUCCGACAUUAAGUAUCCGAGUGCCAUUACAGCUUCGCCGUGGAGACGCCACGCUCUUGUAUCGACUCUGGUUGGGCGUCGCCGUUACCAAAGCCUAUGCAUUCCGCAUAGGUAUGACCGACACCGCAAACUGUGACCACUGCGGCCAUGAAGAAUCAAUUGAACAUAUUUUGUGCGCUUGCCCGCAGUACAGUCCACAGAGGGAAUGCCUUCGCCACGAACUUGACCAACUGGACGACCAACCGCUAUCGGAAAAAAGAAUUCUACACCACCAAAGACCGAACCGCCGAACUGCGCCGCAGAUUUCUAUCACCGGGUGACUGCUUCGGAGGAGGGCCGCGUGGCGCCACCUGCGUCGCUGGAAUGACCGAAUAAGGCCGGGCCUCUAUACUACGGCCCUGUUGUGAUCGGCCGUUCGCCCCGCGACAACCUCAGGUCACGGCUCGCGCGAUUAUGGAGAACGGGCCGAUGGCCUCGUCAAAAUGGUUCUCAAAACGGAUGAUUUAUGACCAGCGUGAGAGUACCUCGUUCAGGAGAGGUUUGAGCAAUUAGCAUGAUACGGCCAUCACCUGUCAGUGUACGAUCGGAGUCAGCGUAGGUUCCCCUCCUUUCCCUGUUUGUGCCUAGUGAUGCGCGUGCGUGCGACCAAGUUCCCUUUUUAGGGAAAGGGCAACCGACUUCCGGAUUGGUGGGACCUGAUAUCAUCGGGCCCCUGACGCCAGAUUGGGGGAAGUGACUGAACAACGAUCACGGAAGGCAUAAAGGAGCAACGGACGGCGAGAGUGAUCGGCGACUACAACUUCAUCAUCAACAUUUCUGUAUUACUUUGCAUUUUCUUGUACAUAUGUAAAUAUAAACGUGUUUGUCAAACUUCCUGAA